Molecule: ribosomal RNA, 462 nt
Filed under: Streptococcus parasanguinis
Lineage: Bacteria; Bacillati; Bacillota; Bacilli; Lactobacillales; Streptococcaceae
Description: bacterial SSU rRNA
Rfam family: Bacterial small subunit ribosomal RNA
Source: RNAcentral
GAUGAACGCUGGCGGCGUGCCUAAUACAUGCAAGUAGAACGCUGAAGCUUGGUGCUUGCACCGAGCGGAUGAGUUGCGAACGGGUGAGUAACGCGUAGGUAACCUGCCUCUUAGCGGGGGAUAACUAUUGGAAAGGAUAGCUAAUACCGCAUAAAAGACGAUAUCGCAUAAUAUUGAUUUGAAAGGUGCAAUUGCAUCACUAAGAGAUGGACCUGCGUUGUAUUAGCUAGUUGGUGAGGUAACGGCUCACCAAGGCGACGAUACAUAGCCGACCUGAGAGGGUGAUCGGCCACACUGGGACUGAGACACGGCCCAGACUCCUACGGGAGGCAGCAGUAGGGAAUCUUCGGCAAUGGGGGCAACCCUGACCGAGCAACGCCGCGUGAGUGAAGAUAGGUUUUCGGAUCGUAAAGCUCUGUUGUAAGAGAAGAACGAUGUGUGAUGAUGUGGAAAGUUCACACU